AUCAAAAUGAAUUGUGAUACUCAACAGAAAAUACUCAUUACUGAUAAUGAGGCCAGCUCAACGUCCCAUAGAAUAAAGCCCUAAGAGGUAUCAGUGACGUGGGAGUCCUGGCAUGAGACUGAAGGUUUUAAUACUGAAUCCAGAAAGAAGUUCAGAAAAACAAGCGCCAACUAGAGAGUUGAUCUUAAGCAAAGAAGAACAGGAAAGGCAUGGAGAAAUGAAGACACUUUCCCAGUAUUCUGCUACUGAAAAGAAAUGUUUGUUGGGUCAGAAGCUACCUGGCAUCAAACUUCUGCUUCAUCACAUUUGUUCCCUUACUAUUGAAGGUCUCCUGGCACGGAAUUCAGAGGGACAAGCUUGCUGCCACUUUUCUACUGGGACUCCCAGUUGAUUCCUGCAAGCCGAAUCCAUUGAAUGUUGAAUGGCAUCAAAAUCAGCAUUCUCGGAAGAAACACUGAAGCUUUCAAAACAGUCCCUGGCAGUUUCAGGUGUGUUCUUUCCAAGCUCCGAGGCUGUGAGUGAAGCCACACCACUACUUACCAAUAAUUGUUAUCUGCCUCUUCUUUCCUCCAUUUCUACACCUAACUGUCAACAUUUUGUGGCAAUAUCUUUACAUCCAGUUGUUAAAGUAAGAUCUUUCACUUUUAUGCAAUGAGACACACACAAAGCACUGCUCACAAAUGAUGGUCAUCCAUUCAAAAAA
This is a non-coding RNA of Odocoileus virginianus texanus, 703 nucleotides long. Lineage: Eukaryota; Metazoa; Chordata; Mammalia; Artiodactyla; Cervidae. The record is from RefSeq and is a predicted model, not a curated record.